RNAcentral lists this ribosomal RNA (161 nucleotides) under uncultured bacterium. RNAcentral describes it as "partial 16S rRNA". It matches the Rfam family "Bacterial small subunit ribosomal RNA", at positions 358 to 511 of the family's 1533-position model. The record is from RNAcentral.
GGAAUCUUCGGCAAUGGGGGCAACCCUGACCGAGCAACGCCGCGUGAGUGAAGAAGGUUUUCGGAUCGUAAAGCUCUGUUGUAAGAGAAGAACGUGUGUGAGAGUAACUGUUCAUUCGAUGACGGUAUCUAACCAGCAAGUCACGGCUAACUACGUGCCAG